UCUGGAGUAUGUAGGAAUCUUUAGGCUUUUAUUCUUGGCGGGGUUGGGAGGGGAUAGGAAGUAGACAGGUGAGUGAGCUCAAUCUGAUUUACAAUUCAGGCCUGUAUUGAUCAUCUAUUGGUAAAUAAACAAUGCCUUGGUCACUGUCACAGUCCCUAUAAGGUAAUGACUGGGAAUAUGGAACAAGAUUAUUGUGGCUAAUUCUGUUGCCAUUCAUCUUAGCUGUUGAUGAAGAUUGUGAGGAGGGAGACCAGAAGAUAAUGGACAACGAUACAGCAGAAGGGCCUGGUAAGCUCCGUUUAGUUGCAUUACCCGGGGAGACCUGAGGCAUGUUUCCAAGGGCUGUGGCUGCCUGUAGCCAUGGGAUCUCCAACUGCAUGCCAGAGUAAUGGAGAGACUUUGACAGCUCAGGUCAGCACAGUGCCUGCAGCUGCCACUCAUCUUUCCUAUAUAUGUAUAUCAGGCCUGGAGUUGAGCUCUGUCUACCUGUGAGGCUAUUGUUCUGUGGUAUUUACAACAAAUGUUUCUUCUGCAGGUUACACUUGAGCUUAUUUCUUGGAAGAGUCUGAGAAGACGGCCUGUCAGGCUCCUAACACUAAGGUAAUUGCUGGCUAAGACAGCCUGACCCUCUGGUUUCCCUUUCCCAUCGGAUCUUGACGCUGGUCUUGGUGGUCGUUAAGGAGGAAGAGUACCCUGAAGCUGGCCUCACAGCGAUGCAGUCUGCUGUAGAGCAGCAGGCCAGACUCAGACAUGCCUGGGCUUUGUGAAGUGGGAAAACUUGAGAACUGAUCAGUAUUGCUGAGUAAUGGCUUACUUUCAGGUUUUUUUUUUCUUUCUUUUAAGGGCCAUGUAACCAGUGAAGCAGCCAUUAUAUAUGAUUUGGUCUACACUUGUUGGAAAAAUUCCACAAGAGGAUCUGGAAGCUAGCAGAAGUUUUUGGCUUGUACAUUGCCAGGCAGCCAUUGGAAUCAGAGCUGCAGUCAGAUUAAGGCCAGCCUGGCCUACAUUGAGAAACCUCAUUUUGGGAAAGUGAAAUGCUUUGUCAAUUAACAUGCAGUUGGUUCAAUAAAGACUUUUGGAAAGUGUCCUCUCUGUAACUG
Molecule: long non-coding RNA, 1100 nt
Filed under: Mus spicilegus (steppe mouse)
Lineage: Eukaryota; Metazoa; Chordata; Mammalia; Rodentia; Muridae
Description: lncRNA (ENSMSIG00000009441.1)
Rfam family: Small nucleolar RNA SNORA44 (bases 326-454)
Source: RNAcentral